This 68-nucleotide transfer RNA is filed under the name Osculotes curta. Its description in RNAcentral is "tRNA-Arg". Lineage: Eukaryota; Metazoa; Arthropoda; Insecta; Psocodea; Philopteridae. The record is from RNAcentral.
CUCCCUAUAGUAUAAAAAGUACAGCUAACUUCGAACUAGCAAGUCCCAUAAAGGAAGGGGAAAGGAUA